Molecule: ribosomal RNA, 253 nt
Filed under: uncultured bacterium
Lineage: Bacteria
Description: partial 16S ribosomal RNA
Rfam family: Bacterial small subunit ribosomal RNA
Source: RNAcentral
UACGUAUGGGGCAGGCGUUAUCCGGAUUUGCUGGGUGUAAAGGGAGCGUAGGCGGCGGGGCAAGCCUGAUGUGAAAGCCCGGGGCUCAACCCCGGGACUGCAUUGGGAACUGCCCUGCUGGAGUGCCGGAGGGGCAGGCGGAAUUCCUAGUGUAGCGGUGAAAUGCGUAGAUAUUAGGAGGAACACCAGUGGCGAAGGCGGCCUGCUGGACGGUGACUGACGCUGAGGCUCGAAAGCGUGGGGAGCAAACAGG